Phyllosticta citrichinensis is the source of this 102-nucleotide non-coding RNA. Lineage: Eukaryota; Fungi; Ascomycota; Dothideomycetes; Botryosphaeriales; Phyllostictaceae. The record is from the annotation of a GenBank genome assembly.
GGCACUUUGGCGGAGUGGUUAACGCGCUGGCCUGCUAUUAUCCAAUCGGAUGUACUCAAGCCAGUUCCUUCGGGAGCGUGUGUUCGAAUCACACAGGUGUCG